UACGGGGCGCAGCAGGGGCGAAAACUUUACAAUGCGGGAAACCGUGAUAAGGGGACACCGAGUGCCAGCAACAUUUGUUGGCUGUCCGGGUGUGUAAAAUACACCUGUUAGCAAGGGCCGGGCAAGACCGGUGCCAGCCGCCGCGGUAACACCGGCGGCCCGAGUGGUGAUCGUUAUUAUUGGGUCUAAAGGGUCCGUAGCCGGUUUGGUCAGUCCUCCGGGAAAUCUGAUAGCUCAACUAUUAGGCUUUCGGGGGAUACUGCCAGGCUUGGAACCGGGAGAGGUAAGAGGUACUACAGGGGUAGGAGUGAAAUCUUGUAAUCCCUGUGGGACCACCUGUGGCGAAGGCGUCUUACCAGAACGGGUUCGACGGUGAGGGACGAAAGCUGGGGGCACGAACCGGAUUAGAUACCCGGGUAGUCCCAGCCGUAAACGAUGCUCGCUAGGUGUCAGGCAUGGUGCGACCGUGUCUGGUGCCGCAGGGAAGCCGUGAAGCGAGCCACCUGGGAAGUACGGCCGCAAGGCUGAAACUUAAAGGAAUUGGCGGGG
Molecule: ribosomal RNA, 549 nt
Filed under: uncultured archaeon
Lineage: Archaea
Description: bacterial SSU rRNA
Rfam family: Archaeal small subunit ribosomal RNA
Source: RNAcentral